This 253-nucleotide ribosomal RNA is filed under the name uncultured bacterium. RNAcentral's name for it is "partial 16S ribosomal RNA". It matches the Rfam family "Bacterial small subunit ribosomal RNA", at positions 524 to 776 of the family's 1533-position model. The record is from RNAcentral.
UACGAAGGGGGCUAGCGUUGUUCGGAUUUACUGGGCGUAAAGCGCACGUAGGCGGAUCGUUAAGUCGGGGGUGAAAUCCUGGAGCUCAACUCCAGAACUGCCUUCGAUACUGGCGAUCUUGAGUCCGGAAGAGGUGAGUGGAACUCCUAGUGUAGAGGUGGAAUUCGUAGAUAUUAGGAAGAACACCAGUGGCGAAGGCGGCUCACUUGACCACAACUGACGCUGAGGCGCGAAAGCUAGGGGAGCAAACAGG